CCAGCUCUCUCCAAAGAUUGUAUCAUAAAAUCUACAAAAACUCAAAUUUCAGCUUCAAUACUGCAGCAGUCCAAAAAAACAACAAUUUGACCAAACUAACCUCAAUCAAAUGCAGUCAAAAAGGACUACACGAAAACUUCAGGAAGCCAGCUAACCACCAUCGGAGCUUCCUACGUCACACACGAGCCAAAACGCCGAAGGCCGCUGCAGGAAAACUGCUAGAGCUGAAAUCCUCAAUGUGCGAAUGGUGGAAUAGGAGUAAUUUGGGAAGUUUAUAAGGGUUAAAAUGCAAAUUAUGGGUUCUCUGUGAAGAAGGGAGGAAAAUUGUAAGGACUGAGAUUUUUUUUGACAGUGCAACUAAACUCUCUGUUGAUGAUGUUUAUGUGUGUAAUUUAAUUACAUAAGCACUCGUCAAGUUUCGAACGAAAAUGAGCUAAAAUGGAGAAGAUACGCGAUUUUUAGUUUUCACUUAAGUGAAUAGU
Molecule: long non-coding RNA, 482 nt
Filed under: Ananas comosus (pineapple)
Lineage: Eukaryota; Viridiplantae; Streptophyta; Magnoliopsida; Poales; Bromeliaceae
Description: long non-coding RNA (ACOM_LNC030291)
Source: RNAcentral